RNAcentral lists this long non-coding RNA (1632 nucleotides) under Homo sapiens (human). RNAcentral's name for it is "HSALNT0000701". The record is from RNAcentral. Lineage: Eukaryota; Metazoa; Chordata; Mammalia; Primates; Hominidae.
GUUUUUCGGAGUCGGUAUCUGCCUGGCUGUGCUUCCUCCUUCAUCAUGUGGUUUUAAAGAGAAGCCAUGAGGCCUGCAGGCCCCACUGGGCAGGAAAGAGGCACCGUGUGGUGGCUGGCAGGGAAGGGCGGCCCCCAGAGUGCGUGUGAAUGUGAGCAUCCCAUGAGUAUCCGUGUGUAAGCAUGUGUAAGACAGUGUGUGUAAGCAUGUGACUGCAUGUGUAAGCAUGUGACUGCAUGUGUAAGGCAUGUGUAAGACUGUGUGUGUAAGCAUGUGUAAGACCAUGUGUAAGACUGCGUGUGUAAGACCGUGUGUAAGACUGCGUGUGCAAGACCGUGUGUAAGACUGCGUGUGUAAGACCGUGUGUAAGACUGAAUGUGUAAGACCGCAUGUGUAAGACCGUGUGUAAGACUGCAUGUGUAAGACUGCAUGUGUAAGACUGUGUGUAAGACCGUGUGUAAGACUCCGUGUGUAAGACCGUGUGUAAGACUGCGUGUGUAAGACCGUGUGUAAGACCGUGUGUAAGACUGCGCGUGUAAGACUGUGUAAGACCGUGUGUAAGACCGUGUGUAAGACUGCAUGUGUAAGACCGUGUGUAAGACUGCAUGUGUAAGACCAUAUGUAAGACCGUGUGUAAGACUGCGUGUGUAAGACUGCGUGUGUAAGACCGUGUGUAAGACCGCUUGUGUAAGACUGCGUGUGUAAGACCAUGCGUAAGGCUGUGUGUAAGACUGCGUGUGUAAGACCGUGUGUAAGACCGUGUAAGACUGCUUGUGUAAGACCGCGUGUGUAAGACUGCGUGUGUAAGACCAUGCGUAAGGCCGUGUGUAAGACUGCGUGUGUAAGACCGUGUGUAAGACCGUGUGUAAGACUGCUUGUGUAAGAUUGCGUGUGUAAGACCGUGUGUAAGACUGCGUGUGUAAGACCAUGCGUAAGGCCGUGUGUAAGACUGCGUGUGUAAGACUGUGUGUAAGACCGUGUGUAAGACUGCGUGUGUAAGACCGUGUGUAAGACCGUAAGACUGCGUGUGUAAGACCGUAAGACCGCGUGUAAGACUGCGUGUGUAAGACCGCGUGUAAGACUGCGUGUGUAAGACUGCGUGUGUAAGGCCGUGCGUAAGACUGCGUGUGUAAGCAGAGGGCCCUGUUGGGAACCUGAAAAGGUGUCCAGGGCAACCUCAGCUGACCCCAGCCUCUAUGCGGCCUCUGGGUUGGGAAACGCUGUUUCUCUUCUGUCUGGAGACCCCUCAGGAGGAAGGGUCUCCCGUCUGCUGGGUGAGGGGCUGAAGUUCGGGCCCCCUUGCCUCCCUCCCUCAAGGGCAAGGCAGCGAAUGGCGCUCGGCUGCCCCGGGCUGCCCUCGUCUAGGCCCCAUGCGGGUUCCCUGGGGGCCUCCUGAUGCUGGCCUGGGUCUUUACUUUUGCGGCCCUCGGGCCCUGUGGGGACUCGGUCCCACCCAGCUGCACACCUCUCUAUGGGGCCAAGAUGUGGUCCUGGAGAUGCCCAAGAUGGGACCCACCGGGAGAAACUGCGCCAAGGGCAGGCUGGCCUCUACGCGGCGUUUCUUACAACUGCACACCCAGCCACGUGAUUUCAAGGAACAUUUCAGUGGAAAGAACACCCACUCCAAAAAUC